GCAAGUCGAGCGCUACCUUCGGGUGGAGCGGCGGACGGGUGAGUAACGCGUAGGAAUCUACCUGGUAGUGGGGGAUAACAUGGAGAAAUCCAUGCUAAUACCGCAUACGUCCUAAGGGAGAAAGUGGGGGAUCUUCGGACCUCACGCUAUCAGAUGAGCCUGCGUAAGAUUAGCUAGUUGGUGAGGUAAAGGCUCACCAAGGCGACGAUCUUUAGCUGGUCUGAGAGGAUGAUC
Molecule: ribosomal RNA, 234 nt
Filed under: uncultured bacterium
Lineage: Bacteria
Description: partial 16S ribosomal RNA
Rfam family: Bacterial small subunit ribosomal RNA
Source: RNAcentral